GACGAACGCUGGCGGCGUGCUUAACACAUGCAAGUCGAACGGAAAGGCCCUGCUUGCAGGGUAUUCGAGUGGCGAACGGGUGAGUAACACGUGGGUGAUCUGCCCUGCACUUCGGGAUAAGCCUGGGAAACUGGGUCUAAUACCGGAUAGGAGCCAUCUUUAGUGUUAUGGUUGGAAAGUUUUUUCGGUGUAGGAUGAGCUCGCGGCCUAUCAGCUUGUUGGUGGGGUAAUGGCCUACCAAGGCGGCGACGGGUAGCCGGCCUGAGAGGGUGGACGGCCACAUUGGGACUGAGAUACGGCCCAGACUCCUACGGGAGGCAGCAGUGGGGAAUAUUGCACAAUGGGCGCAAGCCUGAUGCAGCGACGCCGCGUGGGGGAUGACGGCCUUCGGGUUGUAAACUCCUUUCGCUAGGGACGAAGCUUUUUGUGACGGUACCUAGAUAAGAAGCACCGGCUAACUACGUG
RNAcentral lists this ribosomal RNA (465 nucleotides) under uncultured bacterium. RNAcentral describes it as "partial 16S ribosomal RNA". It matches the Rfam family "Bacterial small subunit ribosomal RNA", at positions 28 to 507 of the family's 1533-position model. The record is from RNAcentral.